GGGUUGUGAGGUUAAGCGACUAAGCGUACACGGUGGAUGCCCUGGCAGUCAGAGGCGAUGAAGGACGUGCUAAUCUGCGAAAAGCGUCGGUAAGGUGAUAUGAACCGUUAUAGCCGGCGAUGUCCGAAUGGGGAAACCCAGUGCAAUUCGUUGCACUAUCGUUUGAUGAAUACAUAGUCAAACGAGGCGAACCGGGGGAACUGAAACAUCUAAGUACCCCGAGGAAAAGAAAUCAACCGAGAUUCCCCCAGUAGCGGCGAGCGAACGGGGAGCAGCCCGGAGUCUGAAUCAGCUUGUGUGUUAGUGGAAGCGUCUGGAAAGUCGCAGGGUACAGGGUGAUACUCCCGUACACUAAAACGCACAGGCUGUGAACUCGAAGAGUAGGGCGGGACACGUGGUAUCCUGUCUGAAUAUGGGGGGACCAUCCUCCAAGGCUAAAUACUCCUGACUGACCGAUAGUGAACCAGUACCGUGAGGGAAAGGCGAAAAGAACCCCGGCGAGGGGAGUGAAAAAGAACCUGAAACCGUGUACGUACAAGCAGUAGGAGCCUCUUUAUGGGGUGACUGCGUACCUUUUGUAUAAUGGGUCAGCGACUUAUAUUCUGUAGCAAGGUUAACCGUAUAGGGGAGCCGCAGGGAAACCGAGUCUUAACUGGGCGUUAAGUUGCAGGGUAUAGACCCGAAACCCGGUGAUCUAGCCAUGGGCAGGUUGAAGGUUGGGUAACACUAACUGGAGGACCGAACCGACUAAUGUUGAAAAAUUAGCGGAUGACUUGUGGCUGGGGGUGAAAGGCCAAUCAAACCGGGAGAUAGCUGGUUCUCCCCGAAAGCUAUUUAGGUAGCGCCUCGUGAACUCAUCUUCGGGGGUAGAGCACUGUUUCGGCUAGGGGGUCAUCCCGACUUACCAACCCGAUGCAAACUACGAAUACCGAAGAAUGUUAUCACGGGAGACACACGGCGGGUGCUAACGUCCGUCGUGAAGAGGGAAACAACCCAGACCGCCAGCUAAGGUCCCAAAGUCAUGGUUAAGUGGGAAACGAUGUGGGAAGGCCCAGACAGCCAGGAUGUUGGCUUAGAAGCAGCCAUCAUUUAAAGAAAGCGUAAUAGCUCACUGGUCGAGUCGGCCUGCGCGGAAGAUGUAACGGGGCUAAACCAUGCACCGAAGCUGCGGCAGCGACACUAUGUGUUGUUGGGUAGGGGAGCGUUCUGUAAGCCGUUGAAGGUGGCCUGUGAGGGUUGCUGGAGGUAUCAGAAGUGCGAAUGCUGACAUAAGUAACGAUAAUGCGGGUGAAAAACCCGCACGCCGGAAGACCAAGGGUUCCUGUCCAACGUUAAUCGGGGCAGGGUGAGUCGACCCCUAAGGCGAGGCCGAAAGGCGUAGUCGAUGGGAAACAGGUUAAUAUUCCUGUACUCGGUGUUACUGCGAAGGGGGGACGGAGAAGGCUAUGUUGGCCGGGCGACGGUUGUCCCGGUUUAAGCAUGUAGGCGGAUGUUCCAGGUAAAUCCGGAACGUUACUAACGCUGAGGUGUGAUGACGAGGCACUACGGUGCUGAAGUGACAAAUGCCCUGCUUCCAGGAAAAGCCUCUAAGCAUCAGGUAACAUCAAAUCGUACCCCAAACCGACACAGGUGGUCAGGUAGAGAAUACCAAGGCGCUUGAGAGAACUCGGGUGAAGGAACUAGGCAAAAUGGUGCCGUAACUUCGGGAGAAGGCACGCUGAUAGGUAGGUGAAGUGGUUUACCCAUGGAGCUGAAAUCAGUCGAAGAUACCAGCUGGCUGCAACUGUUUAUUAAAAACACAGCACUGUGCAAACACGAAAGUGGACGUAUACGGUGUGACGCCUGCCCGGUGCCGGAAGGUUAAUUGAUGGGGUUAUCCGUAAGGAGAAGCUCUUGAUCGAAGCCCCGGUAAACGGCGGCCGUAACUAUAACGGUCCUAAGGUAGCGAAAUUCCUUGUCGGGUAAGUUCCGACCUGCACGAAUGGCGUAAUGAUGGCCAGGCUGUCUCCACCCGAGACUCAGUGAAAUUGAACUCGCUGUGAAGAUGCAGUGUACCCGCGGCAAGACGGAAAGACCCCGUGAACCUUUACUAUAGCUUGACACUGAACACUGGUCCUUGAUGUGUAGGAUAGGUGGGAGGCUUUGAAGUGUGGACGCCAGUCUGCAUGGAGCCAUCCUUGAAAUACCACCCUUUAAUGGCUGGUGUUCUAACGUGGGCCCCUAAUCGGGGUUGCGGACAGUGUCUGGUGGGUAGUUUGACUGGGGCGGUCUCCUCCUAAAGAGUAACGGAGGAGCACGAAGGUCAGCUAAUCCUGGUCGGACAUCAGGAGGUUAGUGCAAUGGCAUAAGCUGGCUUGACUGCGAGCGUGACGGCGCGAGCAGGUGCGAAAGCAGGUCAUAGUGAUCCGGUGGUUCUGAAUGGAAGGGCCAUCGCUCAACGGAUAAAAGGUACUCCGGGGAUAACAGGCUGAUACCGCCCAAGAGUUCAUAUCGACGGCGGUGUUUGGCACCUCGAUGUCGGCUCAUCACAUCCUGGGGCUGAAGUAGGUCCCAAGGGUAUGGCUGUUCGCCAUUUAAAGUGGUACGCGAGCUGGGUUUAGAACGUCGUGAGACAGUUCGGUCCCUAUCUGCCGUGGGCGCUGGAGAAUUGAGGGGGGCUGCUCCUAGUACGAGAGGACCGGAGUGGACGCAUCACUGGUGUUCGGGUUGUCAUGCCAAUGGCAUUGCCCGGUAGCUAAAUGCGGAAGAGAUAAGUGCUGAAAGCAUCUAAGCACGAAACUUGCCCCGAGAUGAGUUCUCCCUGACUCCUUGAGAGUCCUGAAGGAACGUUGAAGACGACGACGUUGAUAGGCCGGGUGUGUAAGCGCAGCGAUGCGUUGAGCUAACCGGUACUAAUGAACCGUGAGGCUUAACCUUACAACGCCGAAG
This 2928-nucleotide ribosomal RNA is filed under the name Klebsiella grimontii. Its description in RNAcentral is "23S ribosomal RNA". It matches the Rfam family "Bacterial large subunit ribosomal RNA". The record is from RNAcentral. Lineage: Bacteria; Pseudomonadati; Pseudomonadota; Gammaproteobacteria; Enterobacterales; Enterobacteriaceae.